AUUGAACGCUGGCGGCAUGCCUUACACAUGCAAGUCGAACGGUAACAGGUCUUCGGAUGCUGACGAGUGGCGAACGGGUGAGUAAUACAUCGGAACGUGCCUAGUAGUGGGGGAUAACUACUCGAAAGAGUGGCUAAUACCGCAUGAGAUCUACGGAUGAAAGCAGGGGAUCGCAAGACCUUGUGCUACUAGAGCGGCCGAUGGCAGAUUAGGUAGUUGGUGGGAUAAAAGCUUACCAAGCCGCCGAUCUGUAGCUGGUCUGAGAGGACGAUCAGCCAGACUGGGACUGAGACACGGCCCAGACUCCUACGGGAGGCAGCAGUGGGGAAUUUUGGACAAUGGGCGCAAGCCUGAUCCAGCAAUGCCGCGUGCAGGAUGAAGGCCUUCGGGUUGUAAACUGCUUUUGUACGGAACGAAAAGCCCCGGGUUAAUACCCUGGGGUCAUGACGGUACCGUAAGAAUAAGCACCGGCUAACUACGUGCCAGCCGCCGCGGUAA
RNAcentral lists this ribosomal RNA (498 nucleotides) under uncultured bacterium. RNAcentral describes it as "partial 16S ribosomal RNA". It matches the Rfam family "Bacterial small subunit ribosomal RNA", at positions 30 to 523 of the family's 1533-position model. The record is from RNAcentral.